This 490-nucleotide ribosomal RNA is filed under the name uncultured bacterium. RNAcentral's name for it is "bacterial SSU rRNA". It matches the Rfam family "Bacterial small subunit ribosomal RNA", at positions 30 to 511 of the family's 1533-position model. The record is from RNAcentral.
AUUGAACGCUGGCGGCAUGCCUUACACAUGCAAGUCGAACGGCAGCGCGGACUUCGGUCUGGCGGCGAGUGGCGAACGGGUGAGUAAUAUAUCGGAACGUACCCAGGAGUGGGGGAUAACGUAGCGAAAGUUACGCUAAUACCGCAUACGUCCUAAGGGAGAAAGCAGGGGAUCGCAAGACCUUGUGCUCAUGGAGCGGCCGAUAUCUGAUUAGCUAGUUGGUGGGGUAAAAAGCCUACCAAGGCAACGAUCAGUAGCUGGUCUGAGAGGACGACCAGCCACACUGGAACUGAGACACGGUCCAGACUCCUACGGGAGGCAGCAGUGGGGAAUUUUGGACAAAUGGGGGGCAACCCUGAUCCAGCAAUGCCGCGUGAGUGAAGAAGGCCCUCGGGUUGUAAAGCUCUUUUGUCAGGGAAGAAAAGGCUGUGGCUAAUAUCCACGGCUCAUGACGGUACCUGAAGAUAAGCACCGGCUAACUACGUGCCAG